CAAAUCAAAAAUAUAUCGAAGUCUUUUGAAAUUGGAUCGUAUCGUUGAUCCGUUGAACCGCGAAAUACUGAUCUAAAAUCCUUUCAAAUCAUAUCAUCAUCGAUAUAACAAUUAACAAUAAAAAAAAUUUAAUUAUGUAUCACUUCGAAUUAUUUAAGAGAAAAAAGAUCGAGAGACAAUGUAUAUUGACAAAUUUUCAAAUAAUGGUAAAAAUUAUAUGAAUAAAAAAUUAAUUAAAUAAAAAGAAAAUUGUCGAAUUUAGUAAAAUUUUAAUCGUAUAAUUCAUAUAUCGUAAGAUAUAGAGUUCAAGAGUAUGAACAAUCGCUUCUGUUCAUCAAAUCAGUUUUCGCGGUCAACGGUUCAAUGCGAUCCAAUAUUCUCACAUCGCUGCCAAUACAAUCCGCAACUCCAUUCGAGUCGGCAUUUACCGGCCGCGUUGACUCGCACAAGGGCAGUUAAUGGUUUUGGUCGUAUCUAGAAGCGAUACAAAUUGAUUUUACAAACGAAACAAUGCGUGGCGCCAUGUGUUCGCGCCGGGCCAGAUGUCGCCAUAGUCGGUUUCUUGAUCAACAACUAGGUUAGUUGUCGCGUAUCGUAUUGGCAACGACGCGGAACAUUUUCUUUCAGUCACAUUCACUUUCUUGCAAUUUGCGUGAUAUUUAUUCAUGGUUGCAUUCUUUUAAAGGUUUUGUUCAUUUUUUUGGCUUGAUUGUGGGUAGUUGAUUUUUUUGUAAAGUAUCGAGCAGAUUAUCAAUUCGGGAGCAAAAAAGAACACGAUCGUCCUGAGGCAGGUAAUAAUAAUAAUAAAUAAAUAAAAGGGCUUGGAUCAUCUGCGGUAUAUAAAAGUUGGAGUAUGUUGAAGCUGAAUAUUUUAAGCGAUUUGUGUAUAGUGCUGAAUAUAAUGAGAUUGAUGUAGGUAGGUAAGAUAAUAACAAUAAUAAUGAUGAUAAUGAUGAUAAUAAUAAUAAUAUAAUAUAUAGAAAAUAUGCUGUGUAUCAAGCAUAUGUACGCAGCUUGUUAUAUCAGAUACCGCUUAAUAGACUGUAUAUGUUUGCAAAUAAAGAUAUUCUAUAUAAAAAUAUUGAUUCUUAAUUAUUUUCUCACAUAUACUUGUUAUUUGUUGAAAAAUAAUAAUUUAAAUAAAAGAUUGAGAAAACAUAUUAUUUUGCAAAUUAUAUUUGAACAAUAUGAAUUAUAAUUUAAAAGUUGAAAUGAAUUCAAAAAUUCGCGGUGUUCCACGUGUCAACCUAACUUAAUAUUUGACAUGUUCAAUUUACUCGCAACAAACAAGAUUUAUAAAGCAUAGCCGUCGAGAAACAAUAUUAAAAAAUAUUCCCUGAAUAUUGUAUGAAAAUUCGAUAAUAAAUAUAAAUCGUGUAUCAUAUGAUAACAUCAGCGUUUAAUUAUUUUUUAAAUAUAUUGCUUAUAUCUAUGGAAUAUUAAGAAUAAAGAAAUGAAUAUAUAUCUGAUAAAAUUUUCAACAUCUGAAAAGAUUUUUUUUAUAGAAUAAGGAGGAAAGGCAUAAAGAUGCUGAAAUAUUUAUAUCUAUAUUUGUCAAUUUCCUAAUUAAGAAAUAAGUUCUAAUAAAUUAGGAAACAAAGUUAUGAUUCAAAGUUCAAAAUAUUCAGAUUAUGCUAUCUGUAAAACUGUAUUUCAAAUUAUUCUUAAGUAAUAAAAAAAUAUUUUUCCUUUAUCAUUUUAGCAAAUAUCAAAUAUCAAAGUAUGGUAGAACACAUACAACAAGCUGCAUAGAUGCAUUUGAUAUUUGUAUAUAUAUAUAUAUAUAUAUAUAUUCAUUUGUCCCUAAGGAAUUGCGUAUGGGGUUAUGAUUCGUUCUUGGAGGAUCCAUAUAUUCCCCCAUGAGAAUUAAAAAGUCAGACGAUAUCCAUUGGACGAACGAUCGUGUCGUCGUUAUGGAGAGCGAUCAAAGCCGUGUAUAAUUCCGGCUACGCGCACCAUGCCACCGUUCUCGUUCCUUCGGCGACUUGGGGAUCAAACAUUACCUGGGUGCUGAUCCUCCAAGUACGAGCAUAGCAAGGUGGCAGGCACAGUCGUCACUACUGGUAAAAAAAAGAAAAAAAAAAAAAAAAAAAAAGAAAACAAAGAAGAAAAGAAUCUGAAAUCAUAGUGAAUCGUAUAUAAAAGGAAACGUAAAACAAUUCGAAUCGAAUUGAAAAAAAUAAAUCGAAAAGAAGAGAGAAACGGAUAUAUAUAUAUAUUUUUUUUAUCUAUAUAUAUAUAUAUAUAUAUAUGUAUAUAGAUCAAUCUCGAACACACCGACAUCUGGUGGCGAGCGCGUAUGCAAGACUGAAUAACGGAAAACAAAGAAAAAUAGUAAAGAAAAAAAAAAAAAAA
RNAcentral lists this long non-coding RNA (2355 nucleotides) under Apis mellifera (honey bee). RNAcentral's name for it is "uncharacterized LOC102655200". The record is from RNAcentral. Lineage: Eukaryota; Metazoa; Arthropoda; Insecta; Hymenoptera; Apidae.